UGAGAGAGAGAGAGAGAGAGAGAGAGAGAGAGAAACUUUGCAAAGGCUGUAGAUGAGGAGGGAGGAUUGGAGAGGGGGAGGAGAGAGGGAGGGAAGGAGGGGAGGCUUCUCUCUCUCUCUCUCUCUCUCUCUCUCUCUCUCU
Non-coding RNA from Podarcis lilfordi (Lilford's wall lizard), 142 nucleotides. The record is from the annotation of a GenBank genome assembly. Lineage: Eukaryota; Metazoa; Chordata; Lepidosauria; Squamata; Lacertidae.